UGAUAAUGGAAAUUGAAUGAUGCUACUAAAUGAAAUCUGAACUCAGGUACCUGAGGUGGAUACAGCUGUAAGGUCAUUGACAGUAAUAUAUGAUGGAACCCCUUGGUAGUUGCUGCAAUUAAUCACGGAACUUACUUUGUUUGGCGUUUGUUGAGCGGGACACAAGUAGAUCACUGAAAUAUAUUAUUCGGUGGCUAUGAUAAUUAACUGGCUUAUAACUUUGAAUAUCUUCUGCAGCAGAGAAUGACAAAUUUUGAGCCGCUUCAUAGACUUCAAGCACUCAAAGGAUACAUCCUUAAAUGCCUUCUUUCUCCUGAAUAUUGUGAACCCCAUAGGGCACCAACGGUGGGUAUGGGACUGCGUCUUUUCGGUAGAUAGUGCCUACCUCAUUCAGCUUCCUCGAACGGGACAUCAAAGCUGUGGUCUAUGACAAGUGGUGAAGUAAUCCAAACUUAACAAGGCCAUAACAAAGCUGUUGUUUGUUGUGCUCUGAAUGAUGGAGCUGAAGUAUCUUCUUGACAAUCCAACCUUUCACGUCCGUUUCACUUCUCGUAUUCAACUAACUAGCUAGCCAACAAUAGGAAGUUGCAUCAAGAGAAGCAUGAAAGGUGGUGAUACAACAAGUGGGGCCCAUCAUCUAAAUUCUAACCAAAUGUUGUUUCUAGUUGGCUUAAUAUAGUUUGUAAAUAAAUAUACAUUAUUUAUUAUUUGAUUGAUAUAAUUGGCA
Molecule: long non-coding RNA, 727 nt
Organism: Amaranthus tricolor (Joseph's coat)
Lineage: Eukaryota; Viridiplantae; Streptophyta; Magnoliopsida; Caryophyllales; Amaranthaceae
Exons: 4
Source: RefSeq, a predicted model, not a curated record